AUUGAACGCUGGCGGAAUGCUUUACACACGCAAGUCGAACGGCAGCACGGACUUCGGUCUGGUGGCGAGUGGCGAACGGGUGAGUAAUGUAUCGGAACGUGCCCAGUCGUGGGGGAUAACGUAGUGAAAAUUACGCUAAUACCGCAUACGGUCUAUGGAUGAAAGCGGGGGAUCGCAAGACCUCGCGCGAUUGGAUGGGCCGAUAUCAGAUUAGGUAGGUGGUGGGGUAAAGGCCCACCAAGCCAACGAUCUGUAGCUGGUCUGAGAGGACGACCAGCCACACUGGAACUGAGACACGGUCCAGACUCCUACGGGAGGCAGCAGUGGGGAAUUUUGGACAAUGGGCGAAAGCCUGAUCCAGCCAUUCCGCGUGCAGGAUGAAGGCCCUCGGGUUGUAAACUGCUUUUGUACAGAACGAAAAGGUUUCUACUAAUACUAGGAGCUCAUGACGGUACUGUAAGAAUAAGCACCGGCUAACUACGUGCCAGCAGCCGCCGUAA
Molecule: ribosomal RNA, 500 nt
Filed under: uncultured bacterium
Lineage: Bacteria
Description: partial 16S ribosomal RNA
Rfam family: Bacterial small subunit ribosomal RNA
Source: RNAcentral